UCCCUGGUGGUCCAGUGGUUAGGCCUUGGCACUUUCACUGUUGGGGCCUGGGUUUGAUCCCUGGUUGGGGAA
Molecule: transfer RNA, 72 nt
Filed under: Bos taurus (domestic cattle)
Lineage: Eukaryota; Metazoa; Chordata; Mammalia; Artiodactyla; Bovidae
Rfam family: tRNA
About the family: Transfer RNA (tRNA) molecules are approximately 80 nucleotides in length. Their secondary structure includes four short double-helical elements and three loops (D, anti-codon, and T loops).
Source: Rfam by way of RNAcentral